This 1297-nucleotide ribosomal RNA is filed under the name Salmonella enterica subsp. enterica serovar Enteritidis. RNAcentral describes it as "partial 23S ribosomal RNA". It matches the Rfam family "Bacterial large subunit ribosomal RNA", at positions 1 to 1191 of the family's 2925-position model. Lineage: Bacteria; Pseudomonadati; Pseudomonadota; Gammaproteobacteria; Enterobacterales; Enterobacteriaceae. The record is from RNAcentral.
GGGUUGUGAGGUUAAGCGACUAAGCGUACACGGUGGAUGCCCUGGCAGUCAGAGGCGAUGAAGGGCGUACUAAUCUGCGAUAAGCGCCGGUAAGGUGAUAUGAACCGUUAUAACCGGCGAUACCCGAAUGGGGAAACCCAGUGUGAUUCGUCACACUAUCAUUAACUGAAUCCAUAGGUUAAUGAGGCGAACCGGGGGAACUGAAACAUCUAAGUACCCCGAGGAAAAGAAAUCAACCGAGAUUCCCCCAGUAGCGGCGAGCGAACGGGGAGGAGCCCAGAGCCUGAAUCAGCAUGUGUGUUAGUGGAAGCGUCUGGAAAGGCGCGCGAUACAGGGUGACAGCCCCGUACACAAAAGCGCAUGUGCUGUGAGCUCGAUGAGUAGGGCGGGACACGUGGUAUCCUGUCUGAAUAUGGGGGGACCAUCCUCCAAGGCUAAAUACUCCUGACUGACCGAUAGUGAACCAGUACCGUGAGGGAAAGGCGAAAAGAACCCCGGCGAGGGGAGUGAAAAAGAACCUGAAACCGUGUACGUACAAGCAGUGGGAGCCCCACCACCAAAGCAUUUGCUGUACCGCGUUGACGGAGCGAAGCGACGUCAAACCGAUAAAACAGCAGUGUAAAGUGAGCCGCAGGGCGCUUUGCGCGACAGCGCAAAGGCAGGCGGUUUCGCGUAGCGAAAGCGAAUGCUUUGGGGUGGGGUGACUGCGUACCUUUUGUAUAAUGGGUCAGCGACUUAUAUUCUGUAGCAAGGUUAACCGAAUAGGGGAGCCGGAGGGAAACCGAGUCUUAAUUGGGCGUUAAGUUGCAGGGUAUAGACCCGAAACCCGGUGAUCUAGCCAUGGGCAGGUUGAAGGUUGGGUAACACUAACUGGAGGACCGAACCGACUAAUGUUGAAAAAUUAGCGGAUGACCUGUGGCUGGGGGUGAAAGGCCAAUCAAACCGGGAGAUAGCUGGUUCUCCCCGAAAGCUAUUUAGGUAGCGCCUCGUGAAUUCAUCUCCGGGGGUAGAGCACUGUUUCGGCUAGGGGGCCAUCCCGGCUUACCAACCCGAUGCAAACUGCGAAUACCGGAGAAUGUUAUCACGGGAGACACACGGCGGGUGCUAACGUCCGUCGUGAAGAGGGAAACAACCCAGACCGCCAGCUAAGGUCCCAAAGUCAUGGUUAAGUGGGAAACGAUGUGGGAAGGCCCAGACAGCCAGGAUGUUGGCUUAGAAGCAGCCAUCAUUUAAAGAAAGCGUAAUAGCUCACUGGUCGAGUCGGCCUGCGCGGAAGAUGUAACGGGGCUAAACCAUG